RNAcentral lists this ribosomal RNA (344 nucleotides) under uncultured fungus. Its description in RNAcentral is "SSU rRNA". It matches the Rfam family "Eukaryotic small subunit ribosomal RNA", at positions 292 to 636 of the family's 1831-position model. The record is from RNAcentral. Lineage: Eukaryota; Fungi.
GGUUCAUUCAAAUUUUUGCCCUAUCAACUUUCGAUGGUAAGGUAUUGGCUUACCAUGGUUUCAACGGGUAACGGGGGAUUAGGGUUCGAUUCCGGAGAGGGAGCCUGAGAAACGGCUACCACAUCCAAGGAAGGCAGCAGGCGCGCAAAUUACCCAAUCCCGACCGGGGAGGUAGUGACAAUAAAUACUGAUACAGGGCUCUUUUGGGUCUUGUAAUUGGAAUGAGUACAAUUUAAACCUCUUAACGAGGAACAAUUGGAGGGCAAGUCUGGUGCCAGCAGCCGCGGUAAUUCCAGCUCCAAUAGCGUAUAUUAAAGUUGUUGCAGUUAAAAAGCUCGUAGUUG